GAUGAACGCUAGCUACAGGCUUAACACAUGCAAGUCGAGGGGUAACAAGAGAAAAGCUUGCUUUUCUUGUUGACGACCGGCGCACGGGUGAGUAACGCGUAUCCAACCUGCCUAUAACUAGGGAAUAACCUUGCGAAAGUAAGACUAAUGCCCUAUGAUUUCCUUUGAUGACAUCAAAUUAGGAAUAAAGAUUUAUCGGUUAUAGAUGGGGAUGCGUCUGAUUAGCUUGUUGGCGGGGUAACGGCCCACCAAGGCAACGAUCAGUAGGGGUUCUGAGAGGAAGGUCCCCCACAUUGGAACUGAGACACGGUCCAAACUCCUACGGGAGGCAGCAGUGAGGAAUAUUGGUCAAUGGGCGGAAGCCUGAACCAGCCAAGUAGCGUGCAGGAUGACGGCCCUAUGGGUUGUAAACUGCUUUUAUACAGGGAUAAAGUUAGCCACGUGUGGUUAUCUGCAGGUACUGUAUGAAUAAGGACCGGCUAAUUCCGUGCCAGCCGCCGCCGUAA
Molecule: ribosomal RNA, 506 nt
Filed under: uncultured bacterium
Lineage: Bacteria
Description: partial 16S ribosomal RNA
Rfam family: Bacterial small subunit ribosomal RNA
Source: RNAcentral